UUAGACUAGGAAAGUAAAUGGAAGAGAAUUCUACAGUGGCGGCGGAUGUGAUUCAGUGGUCGUGGGCAAAACUCUAAACCCCAAGUUGCUCAUUCUGCUUCGUCAGCAGUGUAUGAAUGGAUUAGUUAAUACUGAUGGACUCCUAACAUAGCAGCCUGUUCCAGGGUUGCCAGGGCCACGCUUUUCCCGCAGAAUUGGGCUACUUUUUAGCUGCUGCCACAGGUAUUAUUUGAGUGGACCUAUUUUUUUUAUUAAUUUGUGAUGUAAAUGAAUAAUAAAAUAAAUAACCAACCAAAUCGACAAACACACACACACAAAAAAAAAAAAGAUCCCAUUUAGAAAUAUUGCGUAAUUUUUUUGGAGCUUUUAGUUUCAGUUGCUGCUCAGAGUCCCAACACAAUUAAAAACAAACUGUUAUAAGUUCUUUGAAAAUUAUUUCCCAAUUUUUUGUGUGUACUGUAAGAAAGGGAGGGCUAAGACCUGCACGCCUAUGUAUGCCACUUGUCCAUUGAUGCGGGUACCCCCCAGCUCCUUUUUGGGUAAAUUUACAUGCAGUGUGAAGAUACGAGCAUAAUUAAGAUCGCUAGCAUUAGCAUGCUAACACAACAAUGCACCGCGAGUUGUUUUGGUUUCAUGCUGGUGCUCAAGGGCGACAUCUGCUGGAUCAAAAAAUCGCAUAUAAAGCCUUUAAAGGCAAAAAAGCCUCAGAAAUAACAAAAAAAAAAAACAAUAUGAGCCAAUUUGGGGAGGUUAUCGUUAAAUUGCACCAAAUUAAAUUCCACUUAAAAACAAAUAAAAUUGUCUUAAAAUGCCUUUGCUAAAAGUGGUCUAAAAGAGAGGAAUAGAAGUUUGAUAAAACAAGGGAGAGCUAAAAGUCCAGCACUUAAAAAGUAUUAGCCUAAAAGUCACUCAGUUCCAACAAAAUUAAAACAGUGAGCAAAUUGACCCGAUCAUCUGCAACUGCCCACGCCUGCUGCUUCCCUUGUAGGGUCUCUUCUCGUCGCUUGACACGUACACGGGCUGCA
Molecule: long non-coding RNA, 1025 nt
Organism: Labrus mixtus (cuckoo wrasse)
Lineage: Eukaryota; Metazoa; Chordata; Actinopteri; Labriformes; Labridae
Exons: 2
Source: RefSeq, a predicted model, not a curated record